RNAcentral lists this ribosomal RNA (440 nucleotides) under uncultured bacterium. Its description in RNAcentral is "bacterial SSU rRNA". It matches the Rfam family "Bacterial small subunit ribosomal RNA", at positions 338 to 795 of the family's 1533-position model. The record is from RNAcentral.
CCUACGGGGGGCAGCAGUGGGGAAUAUUGCACAAUGGGGGAAACCCUGAUGCAGCAACGCCGCGUGAGCGAUGAAGGCCUUCGGGUCGUAAAGCUCUGUCCUAAGGGAAGAAUACUGACGGUACCUUAGGAGGAAGCCCCGGCUAACUACGUGCCAGCAGCCGCGGUAAUACGUAGGGGGCUAUCGUUAUCCGGAAUUACUGGGCGUAAAGGGUGCGUAGGCGGCCCUUCAAGUCAGGGGUGAAAGGCUACGGCUCAACCGGAGUAAGCCUUUGAAACUGUAGGGCUUGAGUGCGGGAGAGGAGAGUGCAAUUCCGAGUGUAGCGGUGAAAUGCGUAGAUUUUGGGAGGAGCAACAGUGGCGAGGGCGGCUCUCUGGACUGUAACUGACGCUGAGGCACGAAAGCGUGGGGAGCGAACAGGAUUAGAUACCCUAGUAGGC